UACGUAGGGUGCAAGCGUUAAUCGGAAUUACUGGGCGUAAAGCGUGCGCAGGCGGUUUUGUAAGUCUGUCGUGAAAUCCCCGGGCUCAACCUGGGAAUUGCGAUGGAGACUGCAAGGCUAGAAUCUGGCAGAGGGGGGUAGAAUUCCACGUGUAGCAGUGAAAUGCGUAGAGAUGUGGAGGAACACCGAUGGCGAAGGCAGCCCCCUGGGUUAACACUGACGCUCAUGCACGAAAGCGUGGGGAGCAAACAGG
RNAcentral lists this ribosomal RNA (253 nucleotides) under uncultured bacterium. RNAcentral's name for it is "partial 16S ribosomal RNA". It matches the Rfam family "Bacterial small subunit ribosomal RNA", at positions 524 to 776 of the family's 1533-position model. The record is from RNAcentral.